CUGGGAGGACCAUCUCCUAAGGCUAAAUACUCUCUAGUGACCGAUAGUGAACCAGUACCGUGAGGGAAAGGUGAAAAGCACCCCGGAAGGGGAGUGAAAUAGAACCUGAAACCGUGUGCUUACAAGUAGUCAGAGCCCGUUAAUGGGUGAUGGCGUGCCUUUUGUAGAAUGAACCGGCGAGUUACGAUUUGAUGCAAGGUUAAGCAGUAAAUGUGGAGCCGUAGCGAAAGCGAGUCUGAAUAGGGCGUUUAGUAUUUGGUCGUAGACCCGAAACCAGGUGAUCUAUCCUUGGUCAGGUUGAAGUUCAGGUAACACUGAAUGGAGGACCGAACCGACUUACGUUGAAAAGUGAGCGGAUGAACUGAGGGUAGCGGAGAAAUUCCAAUCGAACCUGGAGAUAGCUGGUUCUCUCCGAAAUAGCUUUAGGGCUAGCCUCAAGUGAUGAUUAUUGGAGGUAGAGCACUGUUUGGACGAGGGGCCCCUCUCGGGUUACCGAAUUCAGACAAACUCCGAAUGCCAAUUAAUUUAACUUGGGAGUCAGAACAUGGGUGAUAAGGUCCGUGUUCGAAAGGGAAACAGCCCAGACCACCAGCUAAGGUCCCAAAAUAUAUGUUAAGUGGAAAAGGAUGUGGCGUUGCCCAGACAACUAGGAUGUUGGCUUAGAAGCAGCCAUCAUUUAAAGAGUGCGUAAUAGCUCACUAGUCGAGUGACACUGCGCCGAAAAUGUACC
RNAcentral lists this ribosomal RNA (730 nucleotides) under Staphylococcus aureus. RNAcentral's name for it is "partial 23S ribosomal RNA". It matches the Rfam family "Bacterial large subunit ribosomal RNA", at positions 444 to 1176 of the family's 2925-position model. Lineage: Bacteria; Bacillati; Bacillota; Bacilli; Caryophanales; Staphylococcaceae. The record is from RNAcentral.